GAUGAACGCUGGCGGCGUGCCUAAUACAUGCAAGUCGAGCGAACAGACGAGGAGCUUGCUCCUCUGACGUUAGCGGCGGACGGGUGAGUAACACGUGGAUAACCUACCUAUAAGACUGGGAUAACUUCGGGAAACCGGAGCUAAUACCGGAUAACAUGUUGAACCGCAUGGUUCAACAGUGAAAGACGGUCUUGCUGUCACUUAUAGAUGGAUCCGCGCCGCAUUAGCUAGUUGGUAAGGUAACGGCUUACCAAGGCAACGAUGCGUAGUCGACCUGAGAGGGUGAUCGGCCACACUGGAACUGAGACACGGUCCAGACUCCUACGGGAGGCAGCAGUAGGGAAUCUUCCGCAAAGGGCGAAAUCCUGACGGAGCAACGCCGCGUGAGUGAAGAAGGUCUUCGGAUCGUAAAACUCUGUUAUUAGGGAAGAACAAAUGUGUAAGUAACUAUGCACGUCUUGACGGUACCUAACCAGAAAGCCACGGCUAACUACGUG
Molecule: ribosomal RNA, 497 nt
Filed under: uncultured bacterium
Lineage: Bacteria
Description: partial 16S ribosomal RNA
Rfam family: Bacterial small subunit ribosomal RNA
Source: RNAcentral